UGCAGCCCAGUAAAGACACGCCAGUCUGCCCGCUGGAAGGAUGCUCAGCGCGACCACGUGACCGAGAGAAGAAAAAAUGAAAGGCUGCUUCCUCUGGGCUGUCACAGUCGGAAGAAGUUCGGGUUGAUUGGACGUGUUCAAAGCCCGCCCCCAAGUGUUGAAUUAGCAGUGCUUGCUGGUUGGGCUUUGACUUUCUGCAGAGACAGAUGCAGAUUGCCAAAAAGAUGACACAUUUUUAUCAGUAAAAAUAUAAUCUAAGAGCCUGAAAACAAAGGAGCUAAAUCCAGCAUUAGACUGUGCUGCCUGGACUCUCACACAGAAUCGAUGGAGAAAUGAAGCCUGCUACCAAACAGCUCACCGUUUUGAUAAAUUAUUGUGCACAAUCUGUCAUGGAAAACCCAACGUCCAGGCUCAGACAACAGGAACCAGUCUGCUUGUGUGAAUGCAGCCUGGGUGCUGUACUGUAACGUCUCAGAGUCCUGUCCUUCAGCAGGACUGUUGGUUUCUGUCAGUGAACACAGAUUAUUGAGAGCGUUAU
Fundulus heteroclitus (mummichog) is the source of this 538-nucleotide long non-coding RNA. RefSeq lists it as uncharacterized. The record is from RefSeq and is a predicted model, not a curated record. Lineage: Eukaryota; Metazoa; Chordata; Actinopteri; Cyprinodontiformes; Fundulidae. The transcript has 3 exons.